CCUACGGGAGGCAGCAGUGGGGAAUAUUGGACAAUGGGGGAAAGCCGGAUGCAGCAAAGCCGCGUGAGGGAAGAAGGAGUUCGGGAGGUAAAGCUCUAUUAGCAGGGAAGAAGAUGACGGUACCUGAAUAAGAAUCCCCGGCUACCACCGUCCCAGCAGCCGCGGUAAUACGUAGGGGGCAACCGUUAUCCGGAUUUACUGGGUGUAAAGGGAGCGGAGACGGCAGUGCAAGUCUGGAGUGAAAGCCCGGGGCCCAACCCCGGAACUGCUCUUGAAACUGUGCGGCUAGAGUACUGGAGGGGCAGGCGGAAUUCCUGGUGUAGCGGUGAAAUGCGUAGAUAUUAUGAGGAACACCAGUGGCGAAGGCGGCCUGCUGGACUGUAACUGACGUUGAGGCUCGAAAGCGUGGGGAGCAAACAGGAUUAGAUACCCCGGUAGUC
This 440-nucleotide ribosomal RNA is filed under the name uncultured bacterium. RNAcentral describes it as "partial 16S ribosomal RNA". It matches the Rfam family "Bacterial small subunit ribosomal RNA", at positions 338 to 795 of the family's 1533-position model. The record is from RNAcentral.